CCAACUCCCUCCCCUCCCCCAACCCACACAAAGGCUUUCGAGUCACCCCGGAAAGAGCACCCAGGGCUUUGCCUGGCUGCCCAGUCUGUCUCCCGGGCUCAGGAGUACAGAGAGACACGGAGUAUGGCCAGGUUACCUUCAAGGGGGCCGUGACCCUCGAGAGCUCCCCGUGGGAGGCACCUGUGCUCGCCCAGGAAUGCCACAGAGCAUCCUACUUCCUCCCCGGCGCCACCACUCAGCGCUCCGUCAGGAGAGAUGGAUGGACCCACCGACAGUCUCCCCCCCUCCUCCGAUCCAUCUCUUCCUCCAGACCUGCGGCUGCAGCGGUGUCAUUGAGCAGUGGUGAUGACCUCUGGCCAGGAAGUUGAAGGUCUUUGCUAUCUGGCUUUUCACAGAAACUGCUGACCCGUGAAUUAGAGCGAGUCUUCAGGCUGCUGUCUGCACCAGAUGAGUUCUGGCUGGGCCGAUACGGGAGGGAGGCGCUUGUGUUCAGAGGUUCCUCCCUCUGGCACCGAGGCUCCUGCCUGCUGGCUGGUGCGGCCAGAGAGCCCGGGAAAAACAUAUGUCGCCCACUGGGGGGCUUGGAGCAAGAAGGGAGGAGCUGUGGCCACGGCCAAUGAGGCGUCCACCUGCCCUUUCUCCCACCUCCCCUGGAGCCCAGGUCCUCAUCCUAGCUGAUGUCACUGCCCCCUUCUCAGACCAAAAGUGUCCACGCUGGGCCAAGUGACCCACACGGGGAUACAGAAUAGAAGCCUGCAGCCUUGGAGGGCUGGACGCCUCUGAGGACCACAAAACACUUGAUUCCACUAACAUGUUUAGUCACUGUGAACAUUUACACAUUUUUUAAAUCACAAAAGGAAUUCUCAGUCAUUUAAAGAUUUGGAAGCAAACCAGAGUUAUUUGAAGACGAAGAGUAAGAUGCCCUCUCACUCCACUCCCCCGCCACAUACCCCAUUCUGUUCCCUGAAGAACUCCAGCCACUGGGCUGGAGCGUUCUAGAUGUUUCUGUGCCUGAUCAUGUGAGUCUCGCCACGAUUCACGAGGUGGGCAGCUCAGCAGCGUGGUGGCCAGAUGGGGGUUUGGGAUGUCAAAUUCUUCGCCCCAAGUCUAGCAGCAAGAAUUGAGGACCUGGGCAUGCUGAGGUGGAAGGUCAUGAGGCCUGCAGUUCCAGGAAGGAGCCCAGUGUAGGGAGGGCCCUGGUAGGACCAGAGGGACCAGCAGAACCCACUGCGUUCCUACUGGGAGCUCCGCUUUGGUGCUGGACCACAGCCUCGUCUGUUCCUGAAACCAGAGAACGGGAGGGCGAUGUCUUCAGACCCAGCAGUCACAGGACAAGACAAGAUGAAUUCCCACUCCACAUAUAAUGCUUUAGAAAACAUUAUAGGUGAAGUGUCUGGCAAGCGAUUUGGCCCAGUGAAAAACAUGUUUUCAACAGGUAAGAAUUCCCUUGCAGGAUAUGUCAGAAGGCUGUGGAUAUUUUGCUGUCAAAGAGUGAACACAACUUGGUCUUGCUACUUGGUGGAGGACACUCGUUAGUCUAUGAAUCUUUUUGCAAACACUUAUCAACUCUGUAAAAGCAAGCAAAUUUGCACUCUUUACACUCCGCAGGAAAGGUACAAAGUAUUCUCCCCAGGAAGCAGAUGAAUGGCUGUUUUGAGUUUUUCUAUAAAAUCAGCGUUUCUUCUUCUCUCACAGCCUACCCAAAGCCGAUCUGAGUGUCAGAGUCCUACUCAGAACGAGACCGGGCCACUGUGCAUCGGUACCUCGUGCUGUGAGAAGGGAUGUACGCUCACCUUUAUCCACAGUUUCAGUCCGGGCGCUCCUAAAAUCCUUGUAGUAGGAGUCCCAAGUGAUAGGAGAGACUUCUGAUGCUCAUAGCAAGCCCUGGAGUUUGGGGUGACUUGAGUAGGGUCCCUGCCCAGCCUCUGGACGGGGCUGGUCACCAGGAAGACCAAGUGAUGAGAAGGCUGGAGGGAGCUUUCAGCCCAUCGCCGGGGCAGUGCUGGCAAUUACGCUGUUACAAACAUUCUUGAACAACAAGUCUGAGGAGCUUCUGGGUUGGUGCCCUGCCCCCCUACCCCGUGCCUGGAGGAUGGUGUGCCCCUCGUUCCACCAGGGCCGGAGCACCAGGAGGGUCCCAAACGCUUCCCCCAGGUGCGUUCUCUCUGCCUCUCUCUUCCUCCUAAUCUCCAAGGACUCUCUUCUUUUCCUCCCAUAACUUGUUUCCUGAGCCCAUUUCUUCUACAGCUCACUUCUAACUCUGUGACUUUGUAAAUGCACUUCCUCUUACAGUUUGAGGCUUGGCUUUGAAUUCUUUGAGCCAGAACUCAAGCGCCGAGACUGCUGAACCCAAGUUUGGUCCGACUCCCCCGGGUCUAAUGCCGGGUGCCGUUUUGCUGCUCUGUGUACCUCUUUGUAAUACCCUUUGUAAUAAACAGUGUUCUAGUAGGCAGAUGAUUUUGCUG
Molecule: long non-coding RNA, 2465 nt
Organism: Artibeus jamaicensis (Jamaican fruit-eating bat)
Lineage: Eukaryota; Metazoa; Chordata; Mammalia; Chiroptera; Phyllostomidae
Exons: 3
Source: RefSeq, a predicted model, not a curated record